This 4179-nucleotide long non-coding RNA is filed under the name Cottoperca gobio. Its description in RNAcentral is "lncRNA (ENSCGOG00000007367.1)". The record is from RNAcentral. Lineage: Eukaryota; Metazoa; Chordata; Actinopteri; Perciformes; Bovichtidae.
GUGAUUGAGGAGGAUCCAGAGGUGCUGGAGGAGGAGGAGGAGGAGGAGGAGGUGGCCCCUGCAGAGGAGGCAUGUUGUUUUUGUUAUCAUACAUUACAUCAUAAUUGCUUAUUGGUUUCUUAUACACUGCUACGCCUGCAAAGUGAAAUGUCUUUAUCUUGGUGUUUGGUAUGAUGAAGGGAGAAUCAUCUCUUAACCUCCCUGCAGAAAACAAAAGAUUAGCACAGCCUAAGAUUAAUGAGUGUAUGCUCCAGUUCCAAUGCCUACCUGUGCCACCUAUUAGAAAGGAAUGCAGCAGGAAUUUAGUCAUGCAAAGUCAAACAUGUUUUAAAGGUGCCCCCCCUGCUGGUAAAGCAAGUAUGUAGCACUUAAAAUGAUUUUCACUUAUUUGAAGAUUCUUGCUGUUCCGAGUUGUAUCCUCAUGAUUGUUUGCAUGUAUAAGUCGCUUUGGACAAAAGCCUCAGCUAAAUGUAAUCUAAACAGUGAUACACCUACAAUUUGUUUCUUUUUUUUUUAUAGCUGCUUUUUGUGCAUUACUCAGGAUUUCCAUCCUACUUGACACGCAGUUAAAAUGAAAAAGCACUGUCUUGGGACAACUGCUGGUAUAAAUAUUCAUUUCAGACAUUUUUGACUGUUGGACCUCCAUGAUUACAAAAAAUGCAGUAAAUUAGAAAUUAAUCAAUUGUAAGUUUAAUAUAUAGAUAUACAAGCAGUAUGCAUGAAGAUAGAAGAGGUUUCCCUCAUGCAGGUAUGAUUUAUUUAUUUUUUGUGACCACUACUAAAUUAUUAGAUAAUUAAUACAAAAGAACAUCCUUAUUGCACACGCCCCCCAAAAAAAUACAAAACAUAAUCAAACCUUUGACAAUGUUGCUUGAUUUAGGCUGAUCCAGUUGAAGAGAUUAUGGCAGACCAGCCUGAGGAGGAGGCGGCAGCAGCUGAAGAGGAAACUGCAACAGAGCAAGCUGUGGAGGAGGAGGAGGAGGAGGAGGAGGCUGCUGAAGAGGCUGUGGAGGAACUUGUAGCAGAGGUGGAGGCAGCAUUCCAGGACACAGAGGAGGAGGAGGAGGAGGCUGCUGAAGAGGUGGCUUCAGAUGUUGAGAUGAUAGAGGAAGACAUUGCUCCUGCAGAAGAAGCUUUUGAGGAGCCUGCUGAUGAGGAGGCAGCAGAAGCUGAUGAGGAGGCAGCGCCUUCAGAAGACGCUUUUGAAGAAGAGGCUGCUCCUUCAGAAGAGGCUGCUUUUGAAGAAGAGGCUGCUUUUGAAGAAGAGGCUGCUUUUGAAGAAAAGGCAGCUCCUUCAGAAGAAGCUGAGGAGAAGGCAGACGACACGGAGGAGACUCCAGAAGAAGUAGAGGAGGAACAAAGAGAACCAGUCACAGAGACGGAAGUAGCUGAUGAAGUAGAGGAGACGGCAGAAGAAGUUGCUGAGUUGGUUGAGACUGAGGAACAGAUUCAGGAUGAGCCCACAGAAACGUAGAGGCUGCCGCAGUUGUCGUGGUGACGGAGCAGGGACCCACUGACCUUGCAUUAGCACCAUCUGAGCGUGCUCAGAGCGAUGAUGCACCUCUCCACCUCCAGAGAAACAAUUGAGUCAUUGUGACAACACUCUCCCCCUCCCUCUGUUUUCACACCUUCCAUUAAAGCUUCCUUUUGUGUGUUAAUGUGAGAUAAUGGAUGGAUUGUAUACUAAUAUGAUACUCCCCUUUUUACCCUUUUUCCUUUUGAAUCACAAUUAUUUCUUUCUUUAAGUAGAACAUCCAUUCCCAUUUUUGUUCUGGGUGAUUUAGUGUGACUGUGGCCAGAAGGUCAGGCAUUGUGAACUCUGUGCUCUACCUGCAGCCAGUAUACCGGAGUCUGAUCUGCAAGAGCUGGAACAUUAAACCGGGCUGGAGCUUUGUUUUGAAGUCCUCUCAGUGAUGUAGUUUGGCUUCCUGGAGCUGAAUUAUGUUGCUAAGUAAACUGAGGUUCAUAGCUGAGCCAGUAUUUGGCAGUUCGAAGUCAGUCUCGGCGUUAGAAGAUCCAGGUUUAUACAGUGAGGUGACUUUGUAGGUUUAGAAGCUUCUCAGAUUGAAAAUGUAAACAAAACUCUUGCUCUGAACACUGCAAAAUGUUUCCCUCCUGCUGAUAAAAAAUCUCCUUGAUGGUGGUAACGAAACAUAUUUCAAAUUUAGUAAUGAAACUAAUACUGUAACGAUCUGCACCUCGAUCGCAGGGUAAGUUCAGAAUUUAAAUAACAUUCCAUUCAGCUGUGUUUAGUUCUGGUCACAGUGUUGUAGAUUCUAUGCAAAGCUGUUGUGAUGUCUGUCACCCACUCCCUCACCCCUCCUUUCCCAGCCAGUUUAUUUACCACUCGGUGUGUGUCGACUCCAGAAUGAGCCGUGUGCUAGCAUGUGAAUUCAGAGAAAUCUUGUGUGCAUUUGUGUGUGAGAGCAUGUUUGCGGAUGUAUUCCUUAUGUAUCCCAUAAUGUUCUUGUGUUGACGAGUCUCUUUUACUAAUCGGACCUUUCUGUGAGCCGUUAAUGUCAUGAAGUAGUUUUUGAGACCGUUCAACUUUUUUUUUCUUGUUUGUUCUUUGUGUCUGUGUUCUGUAGAAUCCUAGUUCUUUUAUCUUCAUAUUUUCAGAUGAGAGUAUAAAGACCAUCUAUCUAGACUAUCGAAUAAUUUCUAGUAUGAAGUUGUAACUUUAAACUUCAGCUCAUUAAGUUUAAACUGUGAUGUAAAUUAGGACAUCAUGGAUGGUGCAAAGCUGUCACACUGUGGUGUAAAGACUUUUUUUGUUUUUUAAUAAAUAAAUACACCAGCAUGAUGAACAUGGUUCUGGCCUAGCAGACUGAUAGACAGGAUAGUGACACUACAAUAUUUUAACCUUGUGUGAUCAAGAUUCCACUUUGAGUAUAAGAGAGCGCUCACAUAGGGUUAAAUGGAUCAGACGUCAUAUUUCCGUGGAAGUCGGCCAUAACUAGCUGACACCAGUUAAAUGAACCAAGAUCUUUGUUUUCAUCAUAAGUAGCGUGUGUUUUAAUUACUUAAAGGGAAACUUGAUGACGCGUUUCUUUAGUCACUGUUCCCUUUUGUGAUGUCAGAAUUUGUGUUUUUUAAACAUUGAUCCAUGGUAGCAGGGCCCCUGGCAUCUGCAGGCCCAGAAGAUCAGAGAGCAAAACAUUCUCUUAAACUUGAUUCCAUCGCAGAACUAAGUGCAAUUUGGAAAACUAAAUUGAGAGCGUUAUGCAUCUUAUUUUGAAGGCGAAGGCAUAACACUAAGAUAGUUUUUGGGACAAUGGGUGCAGCACUGUGGAACACAUUUCUGUUGUGAUAUUGACAAUAAACAAUAUGUAGAUCUGAAGUUUUAGGAUCAAUUACAACACUGUUAGUGGAAGAAGAUAUUGUAAAACAUACCUUUUUUUUUCCUCUUUAAUUUGGUGUCACUGUCCCACUUGUUUCCAGUCCUGACUUAAUGUAACCACCAGAUUGUUUCUAUGGUGUGCAGUAGUUGUUUUUGUAGGAUGUCUUGUCCACUAGCUGGUUUUUUUCUACUUCCUGACACUUUGUAAGUCGAUGUGAACUGUAAAAGCUUUUUAACAUUGAAGAUUACAAUCUUUACCAAGAGAGAGCUUCUAGAUUUUUAAAAGGAACAUUUUUAAAAAGGACAAAACAUUUUCUGAAAAUGCUUUAAAAGCUUUUUACAAAGCCAUAAGCUAUUCGUGACAGGCAGGUUUAAGGGGCCGUGCUACUUCGAUACAAUAAAACCGCAAAGCAACCACACUACAGCAACCUGCUGAAACAGAUUUCUAUCUUUUUCAUCAUUGAUCUCUGAUCAGAAGUCCUGAACAUGCUGGAAAGGGUUGUGAUGACAUGGACAGCUUAGUCCCAGACAAAGGAGGUGGCAGUUGUCUGCUGGAAUCGCUAUAAUAGCUGUGCAGUAGUACUAAGCUCCCCAGUAUUAAAACUGCCUAUGUGUUGUCUGCAGAUCUAAUACUGUCCUGUAGACGCUGACGAUGGUGAUUAAAUUAUUGUGAAGUAAUGAUGGAUUGUGGAGAUUUGAAGUGUCAGUUUUCUGUAAAUGAUCUGUUGCUGCAAUAAAAGGUUUGGGACAACAUGGCAAGGACUCCAUUGUUUUUGAUUUAUACAUUUUGUGUAUGACUCCCAUACCAGUCAAGCAUGUAAUACCCUGUGUGACAAAGG